GAGAAUCCGGGGGCCUGGAUUCUGACGUCACCACACAAAACCCUUUUAAAACACUUUUGAAACCCUGUAUAUUUUUUUUUCUUUUAAAGAUAAUGAAAAUCCAAAAGAAUUUAAAACUUGAAAACAUUUAAUAAAAACUUUGAAUGAGAACAUAAAUCAAAUGAUUUCAAGACCUGAAAGUUUAAACUUGAAACCAUCAUAAAAGAAUUUCCAGAGAAUAUUUAAACUUUAAUAAAUGAUUCAAAAGAGAACAUUUAACCCCCAAAAACAACAGGAUCGCUUCCAGGUUACAGUAUUGAAAUUAGAAUCCACCACUAAUACUACACAACAUUUCUUACCAAGUCAGAUCAUCUUCGAUAUGAAGAAUCACUGUCAACUCUUCCAGCUAUGACUUACAUCUGAAUCUAGAUCGCACAACUCGAGCUAGCACCGACCUCAUCAACUUUCCUGAACACUCCUCGACCACUUGAUCCUCAACUCUGUCUCCUCGUCUAGCAUUAGUCUUAUCCACAAUCUCAAUCAAUCAUCUUAUCUUUCAGCCUUUCUGAAAUGGUGAGAAAGGAAUAGCAAGAGUGAGCAACAAUGCUCAGCAAGUAAUAAUAAACAAUGAUAACUCUGAAAUGAUAUAACAUAAGUUCACGAGUUCAAGAUAUAAGAAGAUUCAACCUGAGUUCACAAUUUCAGGUAUUGUAUAAAAGAAUCACAAUACCUUGCAGCAAUAGAAACCUGAGGAAUUCAAUCCUUCACAAGAGAAUUAUUGAAUUGGACUAUCACAUUUUAAUUAAAAACCAAGGUUAGGAUGCUGAUCAGUCAUACCUAACCCCGAGCAGGCCCCGCCAUGCUCUAUCACUGGAUCCAAGGCACUCAUUGGCCUAGCAUGACCACGAAUCUGGUCUGACCACUCAUUUGGUCCACAUAAUUUUAUAAAAACAAUAAUCCAAUUCUCUAAUUCAAUUCAAGAAGCCAAUGUAAGUUAACAGAACAUAAUCAUCAUCAUCAUCAACCACUGAAUAAUUCCAAAUCAAACUUUGAUAAUAACUUUCCAUAAGUCACAGUCCAUCCUUCCAUAAAUCAUAGUUCAGGAAAUCCCUAACUAUUCAAUAUCCUCCAUUAUCGGCUAUUCAACUGAGUUUAGCCUGCUAAACCAGCAUGACAAUGGCGGUUUGAAUAAUCAAGAAGAUCCCAAUUCAUUCAAAGCUCUAACUAUCACUGAGCAACACAUGCUUCAAUGACAAUCUGAACUUCGAAUUAAUUUGAAAAACGGAAAUUAUCUGAAUUUUUUUCGAGGAUUAGAAAAGGAUGGAUAAGAAUAUUUGCAUUUGCCAAAUAUGAAAAAGAAAGGAACUAAUAUUUGCAACACAUUCGAAAAGAAUGGAUCAGAAUAAUCGCAAGAUAUCCAAGAGAAGGGUAUAGGAUACUUGCCUUAAAUCUGACUCCAGUCUCACAUCUCAAUCUCAUCUUUCCACUUUCACAAUCUAUGCACCUUGUAAUCUCUAGACCAUCUCUAGCUAUACUCUAUUCGCCACAUUGCUUCGCUUACUCGAUUCAUUCUUUAUUCGCUUUGGAACACCACUUGUCCUUCUGAACGUCUUCGGUCAUCCUUGUCUCGUCCAAAUCCUUAACGAGAAUAAGAUAAUACUAUAGUCACUAAUCAAUCAAUCGCAUAUACAUAUCACGUAUAUCGAUACCCACUUAUAUACCCCUUUAAACUUAUCACAUAUCACUUAACACGUAAUCAUGCUUUGACUCUACCAUAUAGUCAAGUCAUAUUCCACAUAACAUAUUACCAAUCACUUAUCAUAUGAAUCCUAUCGAAAAUCCGACAUCGUCUCGUCUAUUUAUUAGACUAUCCACCUGUUAUCCUAUCUCAAUCAACAAUCAACCAACAAGAUCCAAUUACUAUAAUCCAUAUAUUCUUAUCCAAUAUCAAUCAACUCACGACACUAUGUCAUCCAAAUCUUUUAUCACACGUGUAUACUAUCAUGAAUAAACAUGUAUAUCACGUAAUCAUCAAUUAAUAGCAAUCAAAUAACAUAUAAUCACAUUGUGCACAUUUAACAACAAUUAUUCACAUUCUCGACUCCAUCAUAUUAUUAUGUUAUAUCAAACUAGACUUUAUAAGCUUCUGUCUCUCUUUCGUUUCACUUGAUUCCGAUUUACGGAUCAAAAGUUAUGAUCAAAAUUGUUUCCUACUUCCUCUAUCAACACAUAAUACAUCACUCUAAUAACACACAUCACAUAACACAUAAGAUUUCCCAUCCCGACUAAUGUCAAAUCGAGUCUCGGGUUUAAAAUGAUUUUUCGAGAAUUUUCUGGAAUUUUUAAACAUUUUUCGGAAUGAAAAUUGAUAAAAGAAUCACUUUUCGGAUAAAUAAUCAAGUCCCAAAUACUUGAAAUUGGACUUGAAAUCAUUCAUAAACAAUUAUCGAGCCUUGAA
This 2437-nucleotide long non-coding RNA is filed under the name Daucus carota (carrot). Its description in RNAcentral is "long non-coding RNA (DCAR_LNC004564)". Lineage: Eukaryota; Viridiplantae; Streptophyta; Magnoliopsida; Apiales; Apiaceae. The record is from RNAcentral.